RNAcentral lists this long non-coding RNA (1025 nucleotides) under Homo sapiens (human). Its description in RNAcentral is "non-protein coding RB1-DT:19". The record is from RNAcentral. Lineage: Eukaryota; Metazoa; Chordata; Mammalia; Primates; Hominidae.
CGAGGCUCCCGGGCCCGCCGGCGUCUGUGGGGAACUGGGGCGCUGGUCGGUGCGCGGGCUGGGACGCUAAGUCAUGAGGAAUUAAACUGGGAAACCUGGCGUGGGUCCAGGCGCCUUCCAGGAGGCAUCCGGCGCGGCCCGGACGUGCUUCUACCCAGAACCACCCCCUCCAGGCCGGGGUGCACUUAACGGGGCUAUACAAAGAGUCUGGUGGGUGACUGUGGGCCUCAUCCCUAUCCCGGGGUCUGAUAGGGAAGACUCUCGGGCCCCGCAGGGAAUAUCUGGCUAGUGCACCCUCGGCGGGAGCGCCACUCUCCCUCCUUGGGCGGCGCCCCCCACCUCUCAUCCCGCCCAAUCCGUUUUGCAAAGUCGGCCAAAACAAAAACAAACUUGGAGCGCUGAUAGACACUGUUAUUGCCCAUCUGAACUCGUCAACUGAGAAGGAAAGAGAUGGUUUAUGCUGUGAAUAAAAUACAGUUGUGCUGUGAUGUAAAUCCCCUCAUCCUGGAGCAGCUGAGCAAGGUCUAAGGCAGGAAGAACCUUCAAGCAGGUCAUGGCUCAGACUCCACUCCUUCCCGCCAUUGUGAAUAUUAUCAUCUUCAUCUUUUUAUACUGUACUACUUCUGCUACACUGACCUUCUCUCCAUGCCACCAAACCACACUCCUAAGUGCAGAGAAUAUGAUUGAUUCUCCUACUAUACCAAUUUCCAUGAGCAGGACCAAUUACAUAAUUUGCAGGGUCCAGAGGAAAAAAAAUGCAGAACUCCUCAUUGAAAAAUUACUAAGAAUUUCAAGAUGGUGGCAACAGAGCAUUAAACCAACCACAGGGUCUUUCUAACAUGGAGAACUAAGUGACUACACAGGCUACAUGUCCACGAAGCCAGACAGUCUCUGAAGUGCAGGCUCAACUCUGCCUGGCAGUGGCAAGGGCCAGGGCCAGUGACUGAAGCAACAAACUGCCAGAUGACUGCAGCUCAAGCCAAUGCACAAAGCCACUGCAACAAGAGAGGAAAUUCUUCCAUUUC